RNAcentral lists this unclassified non-coding RNA (360 nucleotides) under soil metagenome. RNAcentral describes it as "partial contains 5.8S ribosomal RNA, internal transcribed spacer 2, and large subunit ribosomal RNA". The stretch from base 1 to 120 matches the Rfam family "5.8S ribosomal RNA", at positions 35 to 154 of the family's 154-position model. The record is from RNAcentral.
GAUGAAGAACGCAGCGAAAUGCGAUAAGUAAUGCGAAUUGCAGAAUUCAGUGAAUCAUCGAAUCUUUGAACGCACAUUGCGCCCGCCAGUAUUCUGGCGGGCAUGCCUGUCUGAGCGUCGUUUCGACCCUCGCGCCCGGCUUCUGUCGGGGGCGGUGUUGGGGAUCGGCCACACCCUUCAGUGGGAGGCCGGCCCCUAAAUUCAGUGGCGACCACGCUGUAGCCUCCCCUGCGUAGUACUAAAACCACCUCGCAGGCGGAGAGCGGUGCGGCCCGCCGUAAAACCCCCCAACUUUUACAAGGUCGACCUAAGAUCAGGUAGGAAUACCCGCUGAACUUAAGCAUAUCAAUAAGCGGAGGA